Molecule: ribosomal RNA, 439 nt
Filed under: uncultured bacterium
Lineage: Bacteria
Description: bacterial SSU rRNA
Rfam family: Bacterial small subunit ribosomal RNA
Source: RNAcentral
CCUACGGGGGGCUGCAGUGGGGAAUAUUGCACAAUGGGCGAAAGCCUGAUGCAGCGACGCCGCGUGAGCGAUGAAGGCCUUCGGGUCGUAAAGCUCUGUCCUAAGGGAAGAUAAUGACGGUACCUUAGGAGGAAGCCCCGGCUAACUACGUGCCAGCAGCCGCGGUAAUACGUAGGGGGCGAGCGUUAUCCGGAAUUAUUGGGCGUAAAGGGUGCGUAGGCGGCCUUGUAAGUCAGGUGUGAAAGGCUACGGCUCAACCGUAGUUAGCACUUGAAACUGCAGGGCUUGAGUGCAGGAGAGGAGAGUGGAAUUCCUAGUGUAGCGGUGAAAUGCGUAGAUAUUAGGAGGAACACCAGUGGCGAAGGCGACUCUCUGGACUGUAACUGACGCUGAGGCACGAAAGCGUGGGGAGCGAACAGGAUUAGAUACCCGUGUAGUC